GAUGAAGAACGUAGCGAAAUGCGAUAAGUAGUGUGAAUUGCAGAAUUCAGUGAAUCAUCGAAUCUUUGAACGCUCAUUGCGCCCUUUGGUAUUCCAAAGGGCAUGCCUGUUCGAGCGUCAUUUGUACCCUCAAGCUUUGCUUGGUGUUGGGCGUCUUGUCUCUAGCUUUGCUGGAGACUCGCCUUAAAGUAAUUGGCAGCCGGCCUACUGGUUUCGGAGCGCAGCACAAGUCGCACUCUCUAUCAGCAAAGGUCUAGCAUCCAUUAAGCCUUUUUUUCAACUUUUGACCUCGGAUCAGGUAGGGAUACCCGCUGAACUUAAGCAUAUCAAUAAGCGGAGGA
Molecule: unclassified non-coding RNA, 341 nt
Filed under: soil metagenome
Description: partial contains 5.8S ribosomal RNA, internal transcribed spacer 2, and large subunit ribosomal RNA
Rfam family: 5.8S ribosomal RNA (bases 1-120)
Source: RNAcentral